Molecule: unclassified non-coding RNA, 167 nt
Organism: Chelonoidis abingdonii (Abingdon island giant tortoise)
Lineage: Eukaryota; Metazoa; Chordata; Testudines; Testudinidae
Source: Ensembl
CUGACACCCUAGAAAUGAGGUCCUCUGCUUAUCCACUACAACAUGUAUGGCAGUGAAAACUUCCGCUAUAUUGCCCCACAAUGUACCUCAAACGUGACCUGGAAUACUCUAAUUCUAGAGGUGGGAGGAUCAUUCAGUCUCCAUAAGCCAUUCAAUCCUUUACAGCU